UUGUUCCUUCCACUGUGAAAAUUUCAGAUCUGGAGCCACCCUUCUAUAAGUCUUUCCUUCUCUCCCCAUGCCCCCCACAACUCACACAGGCUAAGGCGAGAAGCCAGGAAAUAAAUAUGCCCCAAAGGAAAAUCACUGGAAGAACAGGAAAGAGCAAGACGGAGCCAUCCUGGAGCGGCAGGCUGGGCGGAGCUCUCCAUUAGCUGCGCAUCACACAUUCCUGCUCCCAGGCCUCUCCCAAGCCUCCAUCCACAGCGUGGGCUUCCGCUUGGUAGCGCUGGAGGGAAAAGGGGGCCCCAAGCCCCAGGGACAGUGUGGUAUCUGCUGAGUGGCCCCAGAGCAUGCCGAGCGCAGGAGGAUGGCUGCCUUCUAACCCUGGAGGGGCACGGGCAUCCGUCCAGCCCCCUUCACCUUCCUCAUCCCCAAACUCCUCAACCACAGCUCCGCAGAGAGUGUGGGAGAGAGGCCCCCUUUCUGCCCUGACCUGGACUUGACUCAGUGUAUCUUGGAAGAAAGAAAGAAGAGGAGUCUGGAUGCUCCCACCCAGAGGCGGCCCGGUAAUUGCAGGUUUUUAUAACACUCCGGGAAGGGACAGUGGCUGCCGUGGAGAAGCCAGGGAAAAUGCUUCGUGGCAACCAUUCCCAGGAACAAGGCCAUCCCAACCACCAGACCACCCUGGUGUGCCCUUUCCAACUCUUCCACUUCCCACGACAUCCGGGAUCACAACCAGCCCGGCCCUCUCCUGUUCUUCCCUCCACAAACAUUUGUGGAGUGUUUACCAGCUCCGCCCUGUAUCGAGGGGCCAGAACUCCCGGGCAGGACCUACCCUCCCCACCAGACCUCAGUCCCCGGAUGUCUCCGACUCUGAUCGUGAUCUAUGUUGAUUAGGAAAACUUCAUCAUUAUCAAGCAUUCUGCAGACUUCAGCAUGACAGUGCGGCCAGCUCUGCUCUGACCAAGGGAAAAUCCGGCAGAUCUGUGAGACCUUCCUUCAUCUUCAGGAUCCAAGGCGCUCGAGGCGGAAUGCGCCUGCCUGGCCCCUGCACACCUGCUGAACACCACCAGGAUCAACUCACUGAGGCCAGUCAGCUCACUGAGGGUCCCAUUAGGGGACCAGACAGUGUGUCCCCUUACUCCUCUCCAGGGACAGAGGCUCUCUGGGGCCUGGGCAUCUGCCAUUGCCCUGAAAGGCCCCCUCCUAGCCCCACAGCCAACGGCUUCCCCGAGGAGCAGCGGCUGGCAAUGAGGCGUUGAGUCCUCUUCAGGCACCUGGGCGGAGGUCGGCUCUGGGUUAACACACAGGGAGGCUGCAGCUCCCCAACAGGCAGGUGGGGUGCAGGCGCCAUGCCAGGGGCCCACACUGGGUUUUCACCUCCCUUCUGUCCUGCCUGUCCCCACAGAGCUCCGCUUUGCCUCUCUGCCCCCUUCACCCCCUCCCUUAUCGGUAACACACAAACUUCCCUAGAGUCAGCCACAGAGGUGUGUCCGGGGACAACCCCACUGUCCAUGGGGUGGCUACAGUUUGGAAGGGACCACAGGGAAGGUGCAGUUUCGUCUGAACAGGCAGGUGGCACUGAUGGGAAGUGCAGGGCACAGUCCCCGGGGCCCCUUGUCCUCCCUCCUUGCUCCUCCUCAUCUUCCCAUGUAAGGGGGUGCCUGUGACCUCUGCUGGGGUGUGGAUGAGGAGACACCGAGCUGGCCCUUUCCUACCCAUGUGCAAGAUGGAGCCCCAAGCUGGGGGCGGGGCUGCCCUGACCCUCCAGCACAGCUGGGGAGCUGUGGAGGUUGGCCCACGAGAAGCUUAUGUCCAGCAGCCCUGGGGAGGCCGGGGCUGCCGUGAGCAAGGUCCCUCUCGUGCCUGAAGGAGCUUCGGGCUGUGACCUUAGCUCUGGGCUGGGGACUUGAGAGCCCCAGCUGAAGGGUGGCUUUAGAGCACACUUCUCCAGGGGACGUUGGAGGCACAGGUGGCCUGGUGGCAGGCUCGGGAGAGUCCCAUGGGGCAGGGUCCAGGCGAGUUCUGCCUCCUGCCUGUGUGGCCCUGCCGGCCCCUCCCCUCUCUUGCUCAGGUGCGCCUUCACAACCUCAGGGGAGCUGGGAGAUGGGACUGCUCUCUCCUGCAGCCUCCCAAGUUCAGUUGCUGUCCCUUAGGAGCCACCGGCUACUCCCAGGAACCCUGGAUCUUUAGAUCUCCCCUGGUGGCCUCCACAUCCAAACCCAGCCCCAGGGGACAGGCGCUCUAGGCAGACAGGCCUGGGCCUGCCUCAGAGUACACAGGAAGGAGAGGUCACCCUGUACCUUGUCUCCUCAACUCUAAGGUGGGGCAGAAACUGCAUCUCCAGGGUGACAGAGGGCUCGUAAUCAUCCAGAUCGGGGACUGGAUAGUGGCAGCCUGUGGGCAAGAUCCAGCCACCACUUGUUUUAGCAAAUAAAGUUUUAUGGGACACAGUCACUCA
This is a non-coding RNA of Ictidomys tridecemlineatus (thirteen-lined ground squirrel), 2452 nucleotides long. Lineage: Eukaryota; Metazoa; Chordata; Mammalia; Rodentia; Sciuridae. The record is from RefSeq and is a predicted model, not a curated record.